UGRUGAGGUAACGGCUCACCAAGUYGACGAUCAGUAGCCGGACUGAGAGGUUGAACGKCCACAUUGGGACUGAGACACGGCCCAGACUCCUACGGGAGGCAGCAGUGGGGAAUAUUGCACAAUGGGGGAAACCCUGAUGCAGCGAUGCCGCGUGGAGGAAGAAGGUUUUCGGAUUGUAAACUCCUGUCUUAAAGGACGAUAAUGACGG
RNAcentral lists this ribosomal RNA (208 nucleotides) under uncultured Bacillota bacterium. Its description in RNAcentral is "uncultured Firmicutes bacterium partial 16S ribosomal RNA". The record is from RNAcentral. Lineage: Bacteria; Bacillati; Bacillota.